RNAcentral lists this transfer RNA (85 nucleotides) under Syntrophomonadaceae bacterium. RNAcentral's name for it is "tRNA-Leu". It matches the Rfam family "tRNA". From Rfam's summary of the family: Transfer RNA (tRNA) molecules are approximately 80 nucleotides in length. Their secondary structure includes four short double-helical elements and three loops (D, anti-codon, and T loops). The record is from RNAcentral. Lineage: Bacteria; Bacillati; Bacillota; Clostridia; Eubacteriales; Syntrophomonadaceae.
GCCGGCGUGGCGGAACUGGCAGACGCGCGCGACUCAAAAUCGUGAGCCGAGAGGUGUGUGGGUUCGAUUCCCACCGCCGGCACCA